CAAUUUACAUUAACAGUACCCUUUAAAACCAACAUUUUUAGUGUAGUAAUGUUGGCAUUCACAUUUUUUAUAAUAUAGAAGUGUAUAAGAAAUAUAGUCUAAAACAUCGCAUAGUAUAUACUGUACACUACAUUUGUAAUGGCGAGUUGUGAGAAUUUCACAUAAGAAAAUAGUGUUAUAAUUAAAAUACAAAUGGCUUUAUUCAUUUUUUCUAGCAAACUCAACACAUUUAG
This is a non-coding RNA of Biomphalaria pfeifferi, 233 nucleotides long. The record is from the annotation of a GenBank genome assembly. Lineage: Eukaryota; Metazoa; Mollusca; Gastropoda; Planorbidae.